This 253-nucleotide ribosomal RNA is filed under the name uncultured bacterium. RNAcentral describes it as "partial 16S ribosomal RNA". It matches the Rfam family "Bacterial small subunit ribosomal RNA", at positions 524 to 776 of the family's 1533-position model. The record is from RNAcentral.
UACAGAGGUCCCAAGCGUUGUUCGGAUUCACUGGGCGUAAAGGGUGCGUAGGCGGUCGGAUAAGUCUGAUGUGAAAUCUUCGAGCUCAACUCGGAAACUGCAUCGGAAACUAUUCGGCUAGAGGAUUGGAGGGGAGACUGGAAUUCUCGGUGUAGCAGUGAAAUGCGUAGAUAUCGGGAGGAACACCAGUGGCGAAGGCGGCUACCUGGCCCACUCUUGACGCUGAGGCGCGAAAGCUAGGGGAGCAAACGGG